UCAUGUAGCGCCAGCCACACCAGGAACAGAAGGGUGCCGGGUACCUUCCGCAUGCUUGGUAUUCUCCCCGCGGGGCUCUGACCGCUGCCGCUCUCAGGCACCUGUCUUUCCUCUCCGUCCCAGAAUGGAGCCAAGACAAGGGAAUAAACGAAAUUCAGUAGUACACGGAGAUCGGGUGUCUGGGCAGCGUCUUGGAAAAACUAUCCACUACAGUACAGGUCAAGUGAAGUUCUUCUGCUGAUAUGUUCUGCUACUGCAUAAGAGACGGAAUCUAUGUUGCCUCGACUGGUCCUGAACUCCUGGGCUAAAGCGAUCCUUCUGCCUUGGCCUCCCAAAGUGCGAGGAUUAUAGGUGUGAGCCACCCAACCUGGCCUUUGCCAGUAUUUUUAAAUCCAAACACCUAUGCAUGGUGCUUACUAAUAACACAGUGGUAUUCUAAACAUUUUUCACCUAUUAUUUAAUCUUUAUUAUUAUCACUAUGUUACAGAUAAGGACCCCUGGCUAAAUAGCUUACCCAACAUUACUCCGUUAAUA
Molecule: long non-coding RNA, 534 nt
Filed under: Pan troglodytes (chimpanzee)
Lineage: Eukaryota; Metazoa; Chordata; Mammalia; Primates; Hominidae
Description: lincRNA
Source: RNAcentral